Molecule: RNase P RNA, 441 nt
Filed under: Candidatus Methylomirabilota bacterium
Lineage: Bacteria; Methylomirabilota (SeqCode)
Description: RNase P RNA component class A
Rfam family: Bacterial RNase P class A
About the family: Ribonuclease P (RNase P) is a ubiquitous endoribonuclease, found in archaea, bacteria and eukarya as well as chloroplasts and mitochondria. Its best characterised activity is the generation of mature 5'-ends of tRNAs by cleaving the 5'-leader elements of precursor-tRNAs. Cellular RNase Ps are ribonucleoproteins.
Source: RNAcentral
GGAGUGGGCCGGGUGGUCGCUCCGAUCGCUGAUCGGGGAGGAAAGUCCGGGCUCCACAGGGCAGGGUGGUGGGUAACACCCACCGGGGGUGACCCCAGGGAAAGUGCCACAGAAAACAUACCGCCCCGCCAGCAGCUCUGGCUCUUUUUCUUGCAGGGAGCUGCCUGCGGGGUAAGGGUGAAAAGGUGCGGUAAGAGCGCACCAGCAGUCCGGUGACGGCCUGGCUUGGCAAACCCCACCCGGAGCAAGGUCAAAUAGGUUCCGCUUCCACGCUGUCGUUCAUCGAGCGCGAGUGAGGAUGAGAGUGGCCCGCUCUCAUGGCCAGAAAGGCAGGCGGAACGGGUAGGCCGCUAGAGUUCCGUAGCGAUGCGGAACCCAGAGGAAUGACUACCGUUCGCCUUUGGGCGAAUACAGAACCCGGCUUAUAGGCCUACUCCGGCC